Long non-coding RNA from Suricata suricatta (meerkat), 345 nucleotides. RefSeq lists it as uncharacterized. The record is from RefSeq and is a predicted model, not a curated record. Lineage: Eukaryota; Metazoa; Chordata; Mammalia; Carnivora; Herpestidae. The transcript has 2 exons.
AAAGAGGGAGAAAAGCAAAUGUGCUAGCCUGUGUCCAGUGGCUAUUUUCAGACACUGGAACUACACAGAAGAGAGACUAGACCCACUAGAUGGCCAAUAUUUGAGCUCUUGGUGUUCAUGUGCACAGACCUGAGGAUGAGAAGAAUUAUGAUGGACUUCAAGAGGUCAAAGCAUUCUUCAUGGAUGGCCUCAGCCAAGAACACCUUUGCACAUGGUCUGCCACAGAUCAUUUUCAGAGCCAACUCUGGCGUAUGAUACAGUAUGCCAUGGAAGAGACGUGGGAGGGAAACAGUAGGGUUGUGUUCAGAAAGGGAGCAUAGAAAUGUAGACUGAGUAGGCACAUGA